RNAcentral lists this ribosomal RNA (305 nucleotides) under uncultured bacterium. Its description in RNAcentral is "bacterial SSU rRNA". It matches the Rfam family "Bacterial small subunit ribosomal RNA", at positions 337 to 638 of the family's 1533-position model. The record is from RNAcentral.
UCCUACGGGAGGCAGCAGUGAGGAAUAUUGGUCAAUGGACGCAAGUCUGAACCAGCCAAGUAGCGUGCAGGAUGACGGCCCUCCGGGUUGUAAACUGCUUUUAGUUGGGAAUAAAAGGGGGCUCGUGAGCCCCGUAUUGUAUGUACCAUCAGAAAAAGCAUCGGCUAACUCCGUGCCAGCAGCCGCCGUAAUACGGAGGAUGCGGGCGUUAUCCGGAUUUAUUGGGUUUAAAGGGUGCGCAGGCGGAAGAUCAAGUCAGCGGUAAAAUUGAGAGGCUCAACCUCUUCGAGCCGUUGAAACUGGUU